Non-coding RNA from Notechis scutatus (mainland tiger snake), 273 nucleotides. The record is from RefSeq and is a predicted model, not a curated record. Lineage: Eukaryota; Metazoa; Chordata; Lepidosauria; Squamata; Elapidae.
GGCUCCGUCUACCCCCAGGACCCCAACAAAGUGGGCGCCUCCCCCUCGGACUGCUGCAUCAUCUGGGUCAGCAUGGCCCUGCAGAACGGCACCCUCUACAAGAGCAUCCUGGUAACAAGCCAGGAGAAGGCCCCCACCGUGGUGGCAAAGGUGCUGGAGAAACACAACCAGGACAAGAAUCUGGCACAUGACUACAAGCUGGUGCAGCUGUUGCCGGAUGGCCGAGAGCUGGUCUUCCCCCCCAUGGCAAACAUCUUCUAUGCCAGGAAUGGC